Molecule: ribosomal RNA, 253 nt
Filed under: uncultured bacterium
Lineage: Bacteria
Description: partial 16S ribosomal RNA
Rfam family: Bacterial small subunit ribosomal RNA
Source: RNAcentral
UACGUAGGGUGCGAGCGUUAAUCGGAAUUACCGGGCGUAAAGCGUGCGCAGGCGGUUUUGUAAGCCAGAUGUGAAAGCCCCGGGCUUAACCUGGGAAUGGCAUUUGGGACUGCAAGGCUUGAGUGCGGCAGAGGAGACUGGAAUUCCUGGUGUAGCAGUGAAAUGCGUAGAUAUCAGGAGGAAUACCGAUGGCGAAGGCAGGUCUCUGGGCUGACACUGACGCUCAUGCACGAAAGCGUGGGGAGCAAACAGG